RNAcentral lists this ribosomal RNA (528 nucleotides) under uncultured bacterium. RNAcentral describes it as "bacterial SSU rRNA". It matches the Rfam family "Bacterial small subunit ribosomal RNA", at positions 977 to 1509 of the family's 1533-position model. The record is from RNAcentral.
CCCCUUGACAUGGCAGGAAUCCUGGAGAGAUCUGGGAGUGCUCGAAAGAGAACCUGCACACAGGUGCUGCAUGGCUGUCGUCAGCUCGUGUCGUGAGAUGUUGGGUUAAGUCCCGCAACGAGCGCAACCCUUGUCAUUAGUUGCUACGCAAGAGCACUCUAAUGAGACUGCCGGUGACAAACCGGAGGAAGGUGGGGAUGACGUCAAGUCCUCAUGGCCCUUAUGGGUAGGGCUUCACACGUCAUACAAUGGUACAUACAGAGGGCCGCCAACCCGCGAGGGGGAGCUAAUCCCAGAAAGUGUAUCGUAGUCCGGAUUGUAGUCUGCAACUCGACUACAUGAAGUUGGAAUCGCUAGUAAUCGCGGAUCAGCAUGUCGCGGUGAAUACGUUCCCGGGUCUUGUACACACCGCCCGUCACACCAUGGGAGCGGGUUUUACCAGAAGUAGGUAGCUUAACCGUAAGGAGGGCGCUUACCACGGUAGGAUUCGUGACUGGGGUGAAGUCGUAACAAGGUAGGCGUAGAUGA